This 1045-nucleotide long non-coding RNA is filed under the name Olea europaea subsp. europaea. Lineage: Eukaryota; Viridiplantae; Streptophyta; Magnoliopsida; Lamiales; Oleaceae. The record is from RNAcentral.
GCCUGAGUUUACAAAAUAUUAGAACCUGAAUAUUACAAAAUAAUAGACAAUUGGAGCCACCUUAAUAACGUUAUUACAAAAUUUCACCCAAAAACUAGAACCAAAUUUGCACAAAAGUGCCCCACUCAUUCAUAUAACAUGAAUGAACAAGCAUGAAUGGAAAUGACAGUUCUGCAAACCUCAUUCACGAUUCCAUCACCUCCAACACAGAUAAUACCUGAAAUCACAUUAGAUCAUGGAAUUGGGUAGUUAAACACAUCAGGAAAGCUGGAUCAAACAGUUAUCAAAAGGGAAAAAAAGGUAAGAGCACCAUCAAGACAUGUUCUGAAGUGUACACUGGCUGCAAGUUUCUUAGCAUGACCAGCAGAUGUUGUUUUUACCACCUUUCACAUCAAAAGAAAUAGGUUGAACGUCUGUAGUGUAGAAGAACACAUUCAAAAAUAGAUUCUCCCUACAAACGUUCAAUAACAUCAACGCUCUCUUGUGUUACAAAAAGUUGGUGUGUUUGAGAAGAUGAAAUGCACUGAUCUUCAGCCUUGUCUUCAUUUUUUGUGUUCACGACAUUUUCUUUAGAUCUACUACACUUAAGCGAAAGUGUUGAACUUGUUGGAACAUGUACAUGAUGUAAACAAUAAGUUGGUUAAAAGGCAAUUGAAUGAUUACACAUUUGAGAUAAGAGUAAUGCAGAGAUAGUAAGACCUUUUUUCGACCCUUUGAUUUUUCUGAAUUCACCUCCAACGGACUCUUUUUGCGCAACUUUUAGGGGGCACCUUUUCUUUUUGUAAGCUUCGGGUCCAAAAUGUAGAUGCUUUCAUCAUUUUGAGCUUCAGGUUUGUGCACAACCGAGUUACCAAAAUUCGAUUUAGAUAAUUGGUUUGUUUGGGAUUCAAUCCACCCCAAUAGAUGAUUGGACUGUUCUUUAUUUGGCGCUAUCAAGUCUACCAUCUUUGUAAAAGCAAGACACAACCUCUCGUACCUUAAUUGCUUAGCUGUACAAACCAAACCAUCGUAUGUCGUUGGGAACGGCACAUAUGGUCGACUAACA